GGGUUGUGAGGUUAAGCGACUAAGCGUACACGGUGGAUGCCCUGGCAGUCAGAGGCGAUGAAGGGCGUGCUAAUCUGCGAUAAGCGCCGGUAAGGUGAUAUGAACCGUUAUAACCGGCGAUACCCGAAUGGGGAAACCCAGUGUGACUCGUCACACUAUCAUUAACUGAAUCCAUAGGUUAAUGAGGCGAACCGGGGGAACUGAAACAUCUAAGUACCCCGAGGAAAAGAAAUCAACCGAGAUUCCCCCAGUAGCGGCGAGCGAACGGGGAGGAGCCCAGAGCCUGAAUCAGCAUGUGUGUUAGUGGAAGCGUCUGGAAAGGCGCGCGAUACAGGGUGACAGCCCCGUACACAAAAGCGCAUAUGCUGUGAGCUCGAUGAGUAGGGCGGGACACGUGGUAUCCUGUCUGAAUAUGGGGGGACCAUCCUCCAAGGCUAAAUACUCCUGACUGACCGAUAGUGAACCAGUACCGUGAGGGAAAGGCGAAAAGAACCCCGGCGAGGGGAGUGAAAAAGAACCUGAAACCGUGUACGUACAAGCAGUGGGAGCCCCACCACUAAGCCAGUGGUGAACUCCACAUACGCAUCCUUUGCUGAGGAUACGGUUAACGGAGCGAAAGCGACGUUCAACCGCAAAAGAAGCAGAGGGGGCUUAGUGGUGGGGUGACUGCGUACCUUUUGUAUAAUGGGUCAGCGACUUAUAUUCUGUAGCAAGGUUAACCGAAUAGGGGAGCCGGAGGGAAACCGAGUCUUAAUUGGGCGUUAAGUUGCAGGGUAUAGACCCGAAACCCGGUGAUCUAGCCAUGGGCAGGUUGAAGGUUGGGUAACACUAACUGGAGGACCGAACCGACUAAUGUUGAAAAAUUAGCGGAUGACCUGUGGCUGGGGGUGAAAGGCCAAUCAAACCGGGAGAUAGCUGGUUCUCCCCGAAAGCUAUUUAGGUAGCGCCUCGUGAAUUCAUCUCCGGGGGUAGAGCACUGUUUCGGCUAGGGGGCCAUCCCGGCUUACCAACCCGAUGCAAACUGCGAAUACCGGAGAAUGUUAUCACGGGAGACACACGGCGGGUGCUAACGUCCGUCGUGAAGAGGGAAACAACCCAGACCGCCAGCUAAGGUCCCAAAGUCAUGGUUAAGUGGGAAACGAUGUGGGAAGGCCCAGACAGCCAGGAUGUUGGCUUAGAAGCAGCCAUCAUUUAAAGAAAGCGUAAUAGCUCACUGGUCGAGUCGGCCUGCGCGGAAGAUGUAACGGGGCUAAACCAUGCACCGAAGCUGCGGCAGCGACACUCAGGUGUUGUUGGGUAGGGGAGCGUUCUGUAAGCCUGCGAAGGUGGCCUGUGAGGGUUGCUGGAGGUAUCAGAAGUGCGAAUGCUGACAUAAGUAACGAUAAAGCGGGUGAAAAGCCCGCUCGCCGGAAGACCAAGGGUUCCUGUCCAACGUUAAUCGGGGCAGGGUGAGUCGACCCCUAAGGCGAGGCCGAAAGGCGUAGUCGAUGGGAAACGGGUUAAUAUUCCCGUACUUGGUGUUACUGCGAAGGGGGGACGGAGAAGGCUAUGUUGGCCGGGCGACGGUUGUCCCGGUUUAAGCGUGUAGGUGUGUGUUCCAGGUAAAUCCGGUUCACUUUAACACUGAGGCGUGAUGACGAGGCACUACGGUGCUGAAGCAACAAAUGCCCUGCUUCCAGGAAAAGCCUCUAAGCAUCAGGUAACAUCAAAUCGUACCCCAAACCGACACAGGUGGUCAGGUAGAGAAUACCAAGGCGCUUGAGAGAACUCGGGUGAAGGAACUAGGCAAAAUGGUGCCGUAACUUCGGGAGAAGGCACGCUGACACGUAGGUGAAGUGAUUUACUCACGGAGCUGAAGUCAGUCGAAGAUACCAGCUGGCUGCAACUGUUUAUUAAAAACACAGCACUGUGCAAACACGAAAGUGGACGUAUACGGUGUGACGCCUGCCCGGUGCCGGAAGGUUAAUUGAUGGGGUCAGCGCAAGCGAAGCUCCUGAUCGAAGCCCCGGUAAACGGCGGCCGUAACUAUAACGGUCCUAAGGUAGCGAAAUUCCUUGUCGGGUAAGUUCCGACCUGCACGAAUGGCGUAAUGAUGGCCAGGCUGUCUCCACCCGAGACUCAGUGAAAUUGAACUCGCUGUGAAGAUGCAGUGUACCCGCGGCAAGACGGAAAGACCCCGUGAACCUUUACUAUAGCUUGACACUGAACAUUGAGCCUUGAUGUGUAGGAUAGGUGGGAGGCUUUGAAGUGUGGACGCCAGUCUGCAUGGAGCCGGCCUUGAAAUACCACCCUUUAAUGUUUGAUGUUCUAACGUGGACCCGUGAUCCGGGUUGCGGACAGUGUCUGGUGGGUAGUUUGACUGGGGCGGUCUCCUCCUAAAGAGUAACGGAGGAGCACGAAGGUUGGCUAAUCCUGGUCGGACAUCAGGAGGUUAGUGCAAUGGCAUAAGCCAGCUUGACUGCGAGCGUGACGGCGCGAGCAGGUGCGAAAGCAGGUCAUAGUGAUCCGGUGGUUCUGAAUGGAAGGGCCAUCGCUCAACGGAUAAAAGGUACUCCGGGGAUAACAGGCUGAUACCGCCCAAGAGUUCAUAUCGACGGCGGUGUUUGGCACCUCGAUGUCGGCUCAUCACAUCCUGGGGCUGAAGUAGGUCCCAAGGGUAUGGCUGUUCGCCAUUUAAAGUGGUACGCGAGCUGGGUUUAGAACGUCGUGAGACAGUUCGGUCCCUAUCUGCCGUGGGCGCUGGAGAACUGAGGGGGGCUGCUCCUAGUACGAGAGGACCGGAGUGGACGCAUCACUGGUGUUCGGGUUGUCAUGCCAAUGGCACUGCCCGGUAGCUAAAUGCGGAAGAGAUAAGUGCUGAAAGCAUCUAAGCACGAAACUUGCCCCGAGAUGAGUUCUCCCUGAGACUUAGAGUCUCCUGAAGGAACGUUGAAGACGACGACGUUGAUAGGCCGGGUGUGUAAGCGCAGCGAUGCGUUGAGCUAACCGGUACUAAUGAACCGUGAGGCUUAACCUUACAACGCCGAAG
This 3028-nucleotide ribosomal RNA is filed under the name Salmonella enterica subsp. enterica serovar Brandenburg. RNAcentral describes it as "23S ribosomal RNA". It matches the Rfam family "Bacterial large subunit ribosomal RNA". The record is from RNAcentral. Lineage: Bacteria; Pseudomonadati; Pseudomonadota; Gammaproteobacteria; Enterobacterales; Enterobacteriaceae.